UCAAAUAUGCAGAGAAACCUGGAGAAAUGUGUAUUUGGACCCUCAAUACAGUUAAUCACAGAAUAAAAAAUUAGACAAUUGAUAAAUUAACAUUCACAUGAACAGAGACACAAGGGUAAAAAUGGUCCUGUUAUUAAGUCCUGUCUACUGAAUGUUGCACAGGGUCAUGCACUGGGAAAUAGUCUUGACUGAAAGGAGGCAGGAUCUUCAGCUAUGCUGCUCUAAGCCAAAGGUGGAGUAGUAAUUCCACCUUGAGUCAAAUUUCUCCUAAAAGAUGAAUCAGUGAUGUUUUGUCUAACCCUAGAAAUAUGAGUAAGGCACUGACUGCACUUAUCCCCAACGUGGUGAAAACAAGUUAUGGAAAGGUCAGAUGACAAAUGUCAGCCUUUAUAAACUCCCCUAACAUAGCAACAGCCAAUCACAUGAACUCAAUUCAGACCCUCUUUUCAUUUCAGAUACCAGCAACUUUCAAAAGCCAUAAAUGAACAUUCUCCUUGAGAAACAAAGGACUGCAUAUGCUGGAAUCUAGAUGAAUCUCUUCUAUAAACCCACUGAUGCCCACAGUUGCUGACUGACUUGAUGACCCCAGGAUCUGCUGGAACAAGCACCUCAUUACUCAUUGCAUACACUUUGUUUGAAGCUACAGGCUCCUGUUCUCCCACUGGCCACAAGUUAAAUCAGAGAUCUGCCAGAGGUCAUUGUGGAGGUUACCGGUGUGACAGUUUGCCACAGAGAGAAUGUAUCCAAACUCAUGCCUGUUGGUGAGGUACAUGAAGAUUCC
Long non-coding RNA from Pristis pectinata (smalltooth sawfish), 781 nucleotides. RefSeq lists it as uncharacterized. The record is from RefSeq and is a predicted model, not a curated record. The transcript is spliced from 4 exons. Lineage: Eukaryota; Metazoa; Chordata; Chondrichthyes; Rhinopristiformes; Pristidae.